AUAUUUACCUGACAGAGGAAACACCAUGGUCAGUCAGAUGGUUUUUCCAGAGUGAGGCUCAUCCUUUGUACUCUGGGUCUGCUGAUCCCUGUGAUUUACCCAAAUGUGGGAAACUCAGCUGCAUAAUUUGUGGUAGUGGGGGUUAAUUUUUUCUUUUC
This is a small nuclear RNA of Indicator indicator, 158 nucleotides long. RefSeq annotates it as U1 spliceosomal RNA. The transcript has a single exon. NCBI's taxonomy places the organism in Eukaryota, Metazoa, Chordata, Aves, Piciformes, Indicatoridae. The record is from RefSeq and is a predicted model, not a curated record.